GAAGAAAGAUGAAAACAAGUUUAGCGACGAUGCUUAAACAGAUGGCGCAAGACUAAGGCUGUACAUUGCAUGUAACUAUGUUAAAGUUUAUUCUAUUUUGCUUUUUUCUUUACCUUUUUCCUGCUUUUAGU
RNAcentral lists this non-coding RNA (131 nucleotides) under Aplanochytrium sp. PBS07. The record is from RNAcentral. Lineage: Eukaryota; Bigyra; Thraustochytrida; Thraustochytriidae.